RNAcentral lists this ribosomal RNA (253 nucleotides) under uncultured bacterium. RNAcentral's name for it is "partial 16S ribosomal RNA". It matches the Rfam family "Bacterial small subunit ribosomal RNA", at positions 524 to 776 of the family's 1533-position model. The record is from RNAcentral.
UACAGAGGUCCCAAGCGUUGUUCGGAUUCACUGGGCGUAAAGGGUGCGUAGGCGGUCGGGUAAGUCUGGCGUGAAAUCUCCAAGCCUAACUUGGAAACUGCGUUGGAUACUAUCCGGCUCGAGGAAUGGAGGGGAGACUGGAAUACUUGGUGUAGCAGUGAAAUGCGUAGAUAUCAAGUGGAACACCAGUGGCGAAAGCGGCUCACUGGACCACAACUGACGCUGAUGCACGAAAGCUAGGGGAGCAAACAGG